Molecule: ribosomal RNA, 221 nt
Filed under: uncultured bacterium
Lineage: Bacteria
Description: partial 16S ribosomal RNA
Rfam family: Bacterial small subunit ribosomal RNA
Source: RNAcentral
CGCCUUCAGAGGGGACAACAGUUGGAAACGACUGCUAAUACCGCAUACGAUCUGACCUCGGCAUCGAGGAUAGAUGAAAGGUGGCCUCUAUUUAUAAGCUAUCACUGAAGGAGGGGAUUGCGUCUGAUUAGCUAGUUGGAGGGGUAACGGCCCACCAAGGCGAUGAUCAGUAGCCGGUCUGAGAGGAUGAACGGCCACAUUGGGACUGAGACACGGCCCAG